This 724-nucleotide non-coding RNA is filed under the name Angiostrongylus cantonensis (rat lungworm). Lineage: Eukaryota; Metazoa; Nematoda; Chromadorea; Rhabditida; Metastrongylidae. The record is from RNAcentral.
CAAUAAAAUGGUUUUGAGUAUCUUAUCUUGUAAGGGUUUCUUUUAUGGAUUUUAAAUUUGAUUAUGGUUUGUUAAUGGUUAAAAUGUUAUUAUUUAAAUUUAAUUUAUUGAGUGGGCAAUAUUAUUUUACCCCGGCAAUUAAUUAUUUGUAUAAUAUUAGUUCCAGAAUAAUCGGCUAUGCUAAUGAAAUUUAAUCUUUAUUUUUGUUGGGGCAUGAAGUUUUUUUGUUGGUUUUACGAAUUUUAGGUAAAAUUAAAAUUUAUAUUUAAAGAUUUUUAUGUCAUUAAGAUUUUUGAAGGCGAAUUAGAUUAGUACCUAAUUAGUGAAAAGUUAAAUAUUCAGGAGUAAAGUGGUAUUUAAACUGAAAGAAUAUUGGCAGAUUUUCUAAAUUAUCUUUGGAGGUUGAGUGAUAAUUGAGAACCCUCAUUAACUACUUGGUUUUUUGGCUUAUGUAUGAUCGUUUAUUUUAAGCUUAAGGUUUAGGAUUUUAGGUUUUGACUGUAAAAAUAGAUAUAUAUUUAGUUUAUGAUUAAGUUAAUUUGACCUACAAUAUUUUGAAUUGUGUGGAUUAUUAAGUUAGUAUUAGUAUGAAAUUGUAAAAGACAGUAAGAAAGUUUUUAUAUCUUUUUGAAGAGUAUUUAGAAAUGGUACAAAUCAUCCAUCAAUUGUCCACAGGGGAGUAAGUUGUAGUAAAGUAGAUUUAGGGGAACCUGAAUCUAAUAUU